This 23-nucleotide unclassified non-coding RNA is filed under the name Mus musculus (house mouse). Its description in RNAcentral is "oocyte_clustered_small_RNA6991". Lineage: Eukaryota; Metazoa; Chordata; Mammalia; Rodentia; Muridae. The record is from RNAcentral.
UGCAGCAGAUGUGACUUAUUGAU